GAAUUUCGCCCACCAUAACGAUUUUUGAGAUAGAGCUAUUUUUAAUUUUAUCGCCGACCGCGGCGGCAAAAACGGCAUUGCCAUAUCAAAGAAAGUUUAUUUUCAGUAAAAUCUUUAGAAAUUUCAAAACAAAUUCCAGAAAAUGUCUGCGUUGGCAAUAUUAAGAGUGUUUCUGCUUGGUUUCGUCAUUUCAAUUUCAAAAUCAAAACAUUGUAAUAUUUUUAACAGCGAUGUAUGCACUAGGUUGCUAUAAGCAAAUAAAAUGGAUUUAAACGAACAAUUAAUAGAGGAAAUACGUAAAUAUGAGUGCCUAUACAAUUUAUCAUCACCGGAUUACAAAAAUGUGUUUAAAAAAACCCAAAUUUGGGAAGAAGUAGCUAAAAUAAUAAAUUUGCCAGAAGACAGCUGUAGGAAACGAUGGAAAGGACUGCGUGACACGUACAGAAAAUGUAAACGUGCACAGCGACUGGAUUCCGGCAGUGGUGCUCCUAUUCCAUGCAAAUCAUGCAUUUCAUAGCGGUCAUUUGUUUCUUAAGAGCGAAGGACGUACUUAAAGAACAUAUGUAUAUUUAACAACACGAAGAGUAUAGAGGGGAUAGAUUCCGUAAGUAUAUUUCAAACAACUAAAAUAAGAUAUAUUUUUAUAAUAAAUAGUCACCCACUUUCACAGGGUGGAUGGGCAAACAAUAAA
Molecule: long non-coding RNA, 691 nt
Organism: Bactrocera oleae (olive fruit fly)
Lineage: Eukaryota; Metazoa; Arthropoda; Insecta; Diptera; Tephritidae
Source: RefSeq, a predicted model, not a curated record